UCAAUCUUGCUGCCGUCCGUAAAGAUUC
RNAcentral lists this small RNA (28 nucleotides) under Bombyx mori (domestic silkworm). RNAcentral's name for it is "ovarian small RNA-24852". The record is from RNAcentral. Lineage: Eukaryota; Metazoa; Arthropoda; Insecta; Lepidoptera; Bombycidae.